CUUGAUAGCAACCAACUUUCUGGUUCCAUACCUCAAGAAAUUGGCAUGCUCAGAUCACUUACAGAACUUGCUUUGUCACAGAAUAAUCUCACUGGUCCAAUUCCAGCUUCUAUCGGAAACUUGACAAAAUUAUCUCUUCUUUAUCUUACUGAUAACCAACUUUCCAAUUCCUUACCUAGAGAAAUUGGGAAGUUGACAAAGCUAACUCAACUCUUCCUUGAAAUGAAUGAACUUUCUGGAACUCUCCCUUCAGAGAUGAACAACUUCACCCUUUUGAAACUUUUCAUAAUAUAUUCAAAUAGAUUCACUGGCCAGUUACCACAAGACAUAUGCAUUGGUGGGGG
This 344-nucleotide unclassified non-coding RNA is filed under the name Hevea brasiliensis (rubber tree). The record is from RNAcentral. Lineage: Eukaryota; Viridiplantae; Streptophyta; Magnoliopsida; Malpighiales; Euphorbiaceae.